CAUCUUCUUGCUUCUUUGUAGCAUAGUCCCGUAGAAGAGCUCCAUAGCGUGUAUGGUGUUGGUCGAUAUUCGAAAGGUCUUCUGAAGGGAUUGACAAAUCUCCAAGGCUAACAUGCUUUGCAAAAGCAGCCACAAAUCCCCUACAAUCGCUGCAUAAGACACAAAACUUUAAUUAUUUAACAAAUAAUUGUAAAAAAAAUAAUCAAUCAUCUAGAAAGAGAGAAUAUUUUUUUUACAGUGAUCCUUCCUUUUGUUGUGGAAUAUCCGUAACCAACCACUGUAUGUUGAGAGGGUCAGUAACUGGUUUCUCAAUGUAUUCCUAUGUGGUCUUGAAGUCAAUGUCUUUACGCUUCCCGUAGAAGCCAGUGCAAGACAAAUACAAAGGGAUAAUGACUGAAAACUUAUCAACACAUGAUUUAACAGCAUUAGAAUUGUGUGAAGAUACCAUGGAAUCAUACUCAUAAAGUUGCCUGUCCGCUAUGUCGAACACGACCAACAACUAAUGGAAAUUCUCUACAAUGUUCACGGGCAUGAUGACAUAGUCAACUUCAUCCCAGGAAACAUUAGCAAGAAUUCUAUACCCAAGAGUAUAUUCUACAAAAUCAUCAUCAGGUUUAACAACCGAAUAUUUUU
RNAcentral lists this long non-coding RNA (633 nucleotides) under Nicotiana benthamiana. Its description in RNAcentral is "long non-coding RNA (NBEN_LNC016783)". The record is from RNAcentral. Lineage: Eukaryota; Viridiplantae; Streptophyta; Magnoliopsida; Solanales; Solanaceae.